Molecule: long non-coding RNA, 1471 nt
Filed under: Coturnix japonica (Japanese quail)
Lineage: Eukaryota; Metazoa; Chordata; Aves; Galliformes; Phasianidae
Description: lncRNA (ENSCJPG00005006002.1)
Source: RNAcentral
UUGCUGUCAAGCCGCCAUUUCGUGGGCAGAAGACCCGUAUUGAAGACUGUCAAGAUUACUUUAGCUAUGCCUAUGAGAGUGCGACAGCAGUUAUCAAAAAUACAACUGCAAGAUAGAGCAGAGCAGAGUGCAGCAACAUUUCUGAGGGACAGAAGCACAAGUGUCACAGCUGAGCAGAGCUGCAGCAGGAACAAUCUCCAGCUCUCAGUGCUGCCUUCUCUGCCACUUCUUGACAGCGAGAGAGCCUGUCCAACAGCAAGGAACGCUCCAACGGCUCAACACUGCUCCUCGUGCAGCACACCAACGCCUGUGACUUGCUCUGUGCACUGCGCUGAUGGCAGAACAAGCUCAGCUGAGGUGGAGAUGUUCCGCAGUCCGACACAAAUCUCCCGCCAUUCUCUCAAACAAAAGAGCGUGACACAGAACUCCUCCCACUUGCCCACACCUUCUCCGAUAGGAUUGGCUGCCUGAACCAGCACACACCUCUGGCUCAAUCAAUGGUCUACUGAACAAAAUGUUCGUCCCCUUGCGUUCACUGGGAGCCGACAUUUUGUGUCAGAUGCCAUUUUAUGACGGGGACCAUGUGCAGAGCUGUCAUAUUACUUCUAGGCUAACUUAUGGGAGUGCACCGGCACUUAUCAAAGACACACCUGAAAGAUAAAACACAGCAGUGCAGCAACAUUUCUGAGAAAUAUUAGUCGAAAUGUCACAGCGCAGCAGAGAUGCAGCAGGCACGAUCUCCAUCUCCCAGUUGGUUGGACUUCUGACUUCCCUGCCACUGCCUGACAGCGAGAAAGCCCGUCCAACAGCAAGUAACACUCCAACAGCUCAACACUGCUCCUCCUGCAGCACACCAAAGCCCGUGACUUGCUCUGUGCACUGUGCUGCUGGUAAAACCAGCUCAGCUGAGCAGGAGAUGUUUCUCAGUCCCACAUGAUUCUCCCGCCAGACUUUCAAACAAAGCAGCGUGACCCAGAACUCCUCCCUCCUGCCCACACCUACUCUGCUGGCAUUGGCUGAAAGAACCAGCCCACACCUCUGGCUCUCUCAAUGGUCCACUGAAGAAAAUGUCCGUUCCCUUUCGUGCACUGGGAGUCAGCAUUUUGUGUCAGCCGCCAUUUCAUGGCAGGGACCACGUGCAGCACUGUCAAAUCACUUCUAGGCUAACAUAAGGGCAUUCUUCAGAUGUUCUUCACCUCCAGCUCCCAGUGCUGACUUUCCUGCCGCUGACUGACAGUGAGAAAUGCCGUCCAACAGCAAGUAACACUCCAACAGUUCAAAACUGCUCCUCCUCCAGCACACCAAGGCUUGUAACCUGCUCUGUGGACGGGGCUGCUGGCAGAACAAGCUCAGAUGAGGAGGAAUUGUUCCUCAGUCCCACACGAAUCACCCGCCAGUCAUACAAAAGAAGCAGCGUGACCCAGAACUCCUCCCUCCUGCCCACACCUACUCUGCUGGCAUUGGCUGACAG